ACAGGAGCAAACAGGGCUGGGGCCACUCCCUGCCCAGAACAGAGGGCACACUGUCCAGGAAGCCGAGAGUCUGUAAGCUGUGGUCUCGCUAUUCCUCGUGGGAUCCACAUAUGGAAGAAACCACAUCUUUUUCUCCCUGAAGAGCCAAGUGCAGUAAGAUCUGUUUUCACAGGAGCUGUAACUCGUCCAUUCCACUGCACUGAGUCCUGGGUGGACGAGUGGCUGAAAGGCUGCUUCAGGAAGUUCAAGUAAAAGAGGGAAGCUGCUAGAUUAAUAAGGUUGCCCUGUCUUGUGAAAGGGCUGCGUGGAGAUUCAAGUCCUUGGCAUUAAAAGGAAAAUUACCGUGUACUUCUGUGCAGACUCAUGUGUAGCAGCGGGAAUGAUCUGGGCUUCAAAUAUCAAAAACCCCAAGGUGGACAUCUCUGUGGUCUCACGUGGCAAACAGAACCAUCGAAUACCACCAUGCAGCCACCAUGGAGAAAAUGUUCAUCCCUUGCACUGGUUAGUUUAUUCAUCAAAUAUGUACUGAUGUCCAUCGGAUACAGGGCAGGGAGAACACAGGAAAGGAGAGGCAGGUCCUGCCCUUGGGGAGCUUCUGGUCUAGACGGGACACAGGCUUCUCUCCACAGCUCCGCUUCGAGGCUGGAGGGGCGUGGCGAGGGAAGAUGUUCCACGGAGGAGACACAGCCCCCCAGAGGAGGCUGGGCUGCACCCCCCAGGAUGCCUUCACGCUGCCUGCCUGGGGGCUGGGCUCGCCUGUGAAGGAGGCUCCUCACCUCCAGGAUGAGCCCCCUCUGCUCCGCCUUUCCUGUGCUAAUGAACCCUGGAUCCUUUAACCUUCCUCCUCAGCCUCUGUCUCUGAGCAGGCAAAUCAUUUUAAAACGCACCUCUGCUCCUCGGUUUCCCUGCUCCGUCCAAUAACUCAAACCUUGAAGAGCUGGCUUUGGUAAAUGGCGGCUGAAGUGGGGAGGGUUUGAACAUUUUCAAAUGUCUGAGCCACACGUGCCAUAGCGUUUCCCACUGGGAAGGGGCCCCUUCUUCCUCUGCUUCCCACCCCAUCCCAGCCAUGCAGGCAUUCCAACAUUUUCAAAUAUCUGAGUCACACGUGUCAUAGAGUUUCCCACUGGGAAGGGGCCCCUCCUUUCUCUGCUUCCCGCCCCAUCCCAGCCAUGCAGGCGUUCCCAUCGCGACACUAUUCACUCAGUAUUCAAUAGUCACUCACUGAAGCUGUGGAAGAAAAGUUAUGACCAAACUAGAUAGCAUAUUCAAAAGCAGAGACAUUACU
This is a long non-coding RNA of Capra hircus (goat), 1285 nucleotides long. RefSeq lists it as uncharacterized. Lineage: Eukaryota; Metazoa; Chordata; Mammalia; Artiodactyla; Bovidae. The record is from RefSeq and is a predicted model, not a curated record. The transcript has 3 exons.